This 194-nucleotide ribosomal RNA is filed under the name uncultured eukaryote. RNAcentral's name for it is "partial 18S ribosomal RNA". It matches the Rfam family "Eukaryotic small subunit ribosomal RNA", at positions 1 to 191 of the family's 1831-position model. The record is from RNAcentral.
GAAACCUGGUUGAUCCUGCCAGUAGUCAUAUGCUUGUCUCAAAGAUUAAGCCAUGCAUGUCUAAGUAUAAACAACUUUAUACGGUGAAACUGCGUACGGCUCAUUAUAUCAGUCAUUAUUUAUUUGAUGGUCCCUUACUACAUGGAUACCCGUAGUAAUUCUAGAGCUAAUACAUGCGUCAAGUCCCGACUAUU